UAGGGAAUCUUCCGCAAUGGGCGAAAGCUUGACGGAGCAACGCCGCGUGAGUGAUGAAGGUCUUCGGAUCGUAAAACUCUGUUAUUAGGGAAGAACAAAUGUGUAAGUAACUAUGCACGUCUUGACGGUACCUAAUCAGAAAGCCACGGCUAACUACGUGCCAGCAGCCGCGGUAAUACGUAGGUGGCAAGCGUUAUCCGGAAUUAUUGGGCGUAAAGCGCGCGUAGGCGGUUUUUUAAGUCUGAUGUGAAAGCCCACGGCUCAACCGGUGAGGGUCAUUGGAAACUGGAAAACUUGAGUGCAGAAGAGGAAAGUGGAAUUCCAUGUGUAGCGGUGAAAUGCGCAGAGAUAUGGAGGAACACCAGUGGCGAAGGCGACUUUCUGGUCUGUAACUGACGCUGAUGUGCGAAAGCGUGGGGAUCAAACAGG
This 429-nucleotide ribosomal RNA is filed under the name Actinomycetes bacterium. Its description in RNAcentral is "Actinobacteria bacterium partial 16S ribosomal RNA". It matches the Rfam family "Bacterial small subunit ribosomal RNA", at positions 355 to 776 of the family's 1533-position model. Lineage: Bacteria; Bacillati; Actinomycetota; Actinomycetes. The record is from RNAcentral.